This 253-nucleotide ribosomal RNA is filed under the name uncultured bacterium. Its description in RNAcentral is "partial 16S ribosomal RNA". It matches the Rfam family "Bacterial small subunit ribosomal RNA", at positions 524 to 776 of the family's 1533-position model. The record is from RNAcentral.
UACGGAGGGUGCAAGCGUUAUCCGGAUUCACUGGGUUUAAAGGGUGCGUAGGUGGUUGGGUAAGUUUGAUGUGAAAUCUCUGAGCUCAACUCAGAAACUGCAUUGAAUACUAUCCGGCUAGAGAAUCGGAGGGGGGACUGGAAUACUUGGUGUAGCAGUGAAAUGCGUAGAUAUCAAGUGGAACACCAGUGGCGAAGGCGAGUCCCUGGACGAUUUCUGACACUGAGGCACGAAAGCUAGGGGAGCAAACAGG